GUCAUCGGCGUUCGGCGAUCGAGUGACGGAGGGCGUUCGCGCUCACCGCGCCUUUCGUUGUCCGAUCCGGAGACGAACGCGUGCACUUUUCUCCUGGUAGGACGUCGCGAUCCGUCGAGUGUCGGUCUAAGGCUCGCGGUGGAGCCCGUAGAUGUCGUUUCACGACGAUAUCUGCGGACCCGCGUGUUCCCGGCCGACUCGCUCGACGGUAUACGAAAGGUUUAAGGCCGCUCCUUAGUAGAGCGUUCGACUCGCGGCAAGCGCGUCAGAUGUCGUCGGUGAUCGGACCUAGUGCCGGUCCCGACUCUGGCGACUGUUGGCCGCGAAGUUCUCGAACAGACCUUAUCGAAACCGAUCUGCGACGCUAUAGCUUUGGGUACUUUCAGGACCCGUCUUGAAACACGGACCAAGGAGUCUAGCAUGUGCGCGAGUCAUUGGGAAUUACUAAACCUAAAGGCGCAAUGAAAGUAAAAGUUCGUCUCGCACGGACCGAGGGAAGAUGGGCGGUCCUUAGUGGCCGCUCCGCAUUCCCGGGGCGUCUCGUUCUCAUCGCGAGAAGAGGCGCACCAAGAGCGUACACGCUGGGACCCGAAAGAUGGUGAACUAUGCCUGGUCAGGACGAAGUCAGGGGAAACCCUGAUGGAGGUCCGUAGCGAUUCUGACGUGCAAAUCGAUCGUCGGAACUGGGUAUAGGGGCGAAAGACUAAUCGAACCAUCUA
Molecule: ribosomal RNA, 719 nt
Filed under: Sitophilus granarius (granary weevil)
Lineage: Eukaryota; Metazoa; Arthropoda; Insecta; Coleoptera; Curculionidae
Description: eukaryotic LSU rRNA
Rfam family: Eukaryotic large subunit ribosomal RNA
Source: RNAcentral